AGAACGAACGCUGGCGGCAUGCCUAACACAUGCAAGUCGAACGAGACCUUCGGGUCUAGUGGCGCACGGGUGCGUAACGCGUGGGAAUCUGCCCUUGGGUUCGGGAUAACAGUUGGAAACGACUGCUAAUACCGGAUGAUGUCUUCGGACCAAAGAUUUAUCGCCCAGGGAUGAGCCCGCGUAGGAUUAGCUUGUUGGUGAGGUAAGAGCUCACCAAGGCGACGAUCCUUAGCUGGUCUGAGAGGAUGAUCAGCCACACUGGGACUGAGACACGGCCCAGACUCCUACGGGAGGCAGCAGUGGGAAUAUUGGACAAUGGGCGAAAGCCUGAUCCAGCAAUGCCGCGUGAGUGAUGAAGCCUUAGGUUGUAAAGCUCUUUACCGGGAUGAUAAUGACAGUACCGGAGAAUAAGCCCGGCUAACUCCGUGCCCAGCAAGCCGAC
RNAcentral lists this ribosomal RNA (442 nucleotides) under uncultured soil bacterium. RNAcentral describes it as "bacterial SSU rRNA". It matches the Rfam family "Bacterial small subunit ribosomal RNA", at positions 26 to 522 of the family's 1533-position model. The record is from RNAcentral.